AACAAAACCUAUAGGUCUUUCCACGGAAAGGUGGAAAGACCUAAUAAUUAAAAACCAAUUGUUCAAAGAACAAUUGAAGGUCUUUCCACAAGUAAAGAUCUAUUUUAUAUCAAAAUAUUAAAAAUCAGUCUAAAAUGUCAGUUCCUAUGACUUUAUAAUGUAUAAAUAUGAAUUUAAAGCAAAGGUCAAAAUCUAGAACGUCCUAUUAACCUUUGACCUUGACCUCAAUUUCAAGGUCACCAAACCAAGGACCUCAAAUAAAAGACCCUAGGUCUGUAAUAUGUAUGGUUAAUGAGUUAAUAUCACUUUAGGCAUGAUUUUAAAUAUAAGAUGGGCGAAAAACUCUCAUUUAUUGUUUACGCACCCUUUCCAACCAAAAUUUAUAAGUUACAACAUGUCGCAACUCACAAUUUAGUAAAAAUAAUUUGUCAAUAUCUUUCACGGUUGUUGAAAAUAAGAGAAAAUAAGCCAAAAUCAAAAUUUAGAAUAUGACCUUGACCUUUGACCUUGACCUUAUUUUCAUUUUUUUUGGACCAAGGAACUUAAAUCCAAAGACCCUAGGCCUAUAUCACUUAUGGUUUACCAGUUAGAAACGCAUAUCACUUAUAUCAAAUGCAAAAGGGGGAAUAACUCUCAUAUGGAGUCUCCGGAUAGCUUCGGUCCAAAUGAAUAUCCUAAUCCUGAAGAUGUAACGAGCAAUUUGGUAAAAUAAAUUUGUCGUAAUCUUUUACGGUUGCGAAGGAGUAGUGGCCACAAGAAAAACAGUGUUUGGGGAGAUAACUCUUACAACGUAAAGUAUUUUUGUUACGCAGUUGUAAAUUUUUAAAAGCGUAUAAACUAUACGACAUCAUAUUCCAAAUAUCUAAGCGACAUCUUUUGAAACAACAAUACUACGCAAGAAAAAAAUUUAGGCGGAAGAAAAAAAAAAAAAAAAAAAAUAAUUAAAAACCAAUUGUUCAGAGAACAAUUGAAGGUCUUUCCACUAGUAAAGAUCUAUUUUGAUAUUGAAAUAUGAAAAAUCAGUUUAAAAUGUUAGUUCCUAUGGCUUUAUGAUGUAUUUAUAUGAAUUUAAAGCAAAGGUCAAAAUCUAGAACGUCCUAUUAACCUAUGACCUUGACCUCAAUUUCAAGGUCACAAACCAAGGACCUUAAAUCAAAAGACCCUAGGUCUUUAAUAUGUUUGGUUAAUGAGUAAUACCACUUUACGCGUAAUUCUAAAUGUAAGAUGGACAAAAACUCCCAUUUAUUGUAUGCGCACCCUUUCAACCAAAAUAUACAAGUAAGGACAUGUCGCAACUAACAAUUUAUGAAAAAUUAUUUGUCGAUAUGUCAUACGGUAUUUGAAAAUAAGUGAAAAUAAGCCAAAAUCAAAAUUUAGAAUAUGACCUUGACCUUUGACCUUGACCUCAUUUUCAUUUUUUUGGACCAAGG
This 1430-nucleotide long non-coding RNA is filed under the name Mytilus galloprovincialis (Mediterranean mussel). Lineage: Eukaryota; Metazoa; Mollusca; Bivalvia; Mytilida; Mytilidae. The record is from RNAcentral.